This 333-nucleotide ribosomal RNA is filed under the name uncultured Anaerolineaceae bacterium. RNAcentral describes it as "bacterial SSU rRNA". It matches the Rfam family "Bacterial small subunit ribosomal RNA", at positions 1036 to 1382 of the family's 1533-position model. Lineage: Bacteria; Bacillati; Chloroflexota; Anaerolineae; Anaerolineales; Anaerolineaceae. The record is from RNAcentral.
AGGUGCUGCAUGGCUGUCGUCAGCUCGUGUCGUGAGAUGUCGGUUAAGUCCGCUAACGAGCGCAACCCUCGCUGUGUGUUACAAGUGUCACACGGAACUGCCGGUCAUAAACCGGAGGAAGGUGGGGAUGACGUCAAGUCAGCAUGGCCUUUAUAUCCUGGGCUACACACACGCUACAAUGGGAAGGGACAAUAGGUUGCGAAGCCGCGAGGCGGAGCCAAUCCAGCAAAACUUCCCUCAGUUCAGAUUGCAGGCUGCAACUCGCCUGCAUGAAGUUGGAGUUGCUAGUAAACGCAGGUCAGCCAUACUGCGUUGAAUACGUUCCCGGGGCUU